CACUCCUGCGGGAGGCAGCAGUGGGGAAUUUUGGACAAUGGGCGAAAGCCUGAUCCAGCAAUGCCGCGUGAGUGAAGAAGGCCUUCGGGUUGUAAAGCUCUUUUGUCAGGGAAGAAACGGUGAAAGCUAAUAUCUUUUGCUAAUGACGGUACCUGAAGAAUAAGCACCGGCUAACUACGUGCCAGCAGCCGCGGUAAUACGUAGGGUGCAAGCGUUAAUCGGAAUUACUGGGCGUAAAGCGUGCGCAGGCGGUUUUGUAAGUCUGAUGUGAAAUCCCCGGGCUCAACCUGGGAAUUGCAUUGGAGACUGCAAGGCUAGAAUCUGGCAGAGGGGGGUAGAAUUCCACGUGUAGCAGUGAAAUGCGUAGAUAUGUGGAGGAACACCGAUGGCGAAGGCAGCCCCCUGGGUCAAGAUUGACGCUCAUGCACGAAAGCGUGGGGAGCAAACAGGAUUAGAUACCCCAGUAGUCCCAUGAU
This 476-nucleotide ribosomal RNA is filed under the name uncultured organism. RNAcentral's name for it is "partial 16S ribosomal RNA". It matches the Rfam family "Bacterial small subunit ribosomal RNA", at positions 334 to 801 of the family's 1533-position model. The record is from RNAcentral.